RNAcentral lists this long non-coding RNA (627 nucleotides) under Monodelphis domestica (gray short-tailed opossum). RNAcentral's name for it is "lncRNA (ENSMODG00000031743.2)". Lineage: Eukaryota; Metazoa; Chordata; Mammalia; Didelphimorphia; Didelphidae. The record is from RNAcentral.
GGCUUGUCUCUGACCUGUUCUGCCUAUCCUCAUCCUCAUACUGACUUCUUGCCCAAUUUCAUCAACAUCUUCUCUGAGCCACAUUGAAUGCCAAGGAAGAUGGCCAAGCACAGUCAGGCUUAGCAGAGAAGCGGGGUCACUGCAGCACAGCCCCAUCUGUGCACACACAUGCGGUAAUCGGAUGCUUCAGCAGCUGUUACAUGAAGGCCUGGCAAGAAAAACACACAGUCAGGAAAUGCUGGGGAGAGUCUUCAAGCCAUGGGCUGCUGCUGAAGAAUGCUGGGAAAGAGACAAAGGAUCAGAGAGUCCCACCCUGAUCAGAGAGGCAGGCAGCUGUCUUCAGUAGCAACUCUUCAAUGAAGACUCUCAUUAUCCUUCAAGAUUGAAAGUGCCUUAUUACUCACAUCUCACAUCCUUAUUAGAUCCUUUGCCUGGGGAGCAGAGGAAUGGCCUCCAGAACCUCCUUUUUUUUUAAAGAAGAGGUAUGAGUAGUCUUCUCAACUUUUACCAUCAUCUACACUGCUUUUGGAUUUCCAAGUCCCCAAAGUUCCACUUUCACCUUUCAUCUUUCUUUAUGAGUUUUCUCUCCUCAUUAAACUGUCAACUCCUUGAGGGUAAGAUCUGUGU